Dipodomys ordii (Ord's kangaroo rat) is the source of this 73-nucleotide non-coding RNA. The record is from Rfam. NCBI's taxonomy places the organism in Eukaryota, Metazoa, Chordata, Mammalia, Rodentia, Heteromyidae.
GAGGGCAUGGCUCAAGCAAUAGAGCUUCUGCCUGGCAAGCUCAAGGCCCUGAGUUUAAAUCUUAGUUCCAUCA